GCGGGGAUAGCUCAGUUGGGAGAGCGUCAGACUGAAGUCCAACUUCAUUCAUGACAUCUGAAGGUCGUGCGUUCGAUCCGCACUCACCGCA
Molecule: non-coding RNA, 91 nt
Organism: Xylaria curta
Lineage: Eukaryota; Fungi; Ascomycota; Sordariomycetes; Xylariales; Xylariaceae
Source: the annotation of a GenBank genome assembly